GGCGUAAAGCGCAUGCAGGUGGUUUGUUAAGUCAGAUGUGAAAGCCCGGGGCUCAACCUCGGAAUAGCAUUUGAAACUGGCAGACUAGAGUACUGUAGAGGGGGGUAGAAUUUCAGGUGUAGCGGUGAAAUGCGUAGAGAUCUGAAGGAAUACCGGUGGCGAAGGCGGCCCCCUGGACAGAUACUGACACUCAGAUGCGAAAGCGUGGGGAGCAAACAGGAUUAGAUACCCUGGUAGUCCACGCCGUAAACGAUGUCUACUUGGAGGUUGUGGCCUUGAGCCGUGGCUUUCGGAGCUAACGCGUUAAGUAGACCGCCUGGGGAGUACGGUCGCAAGAUUAAAACUCAAAUGAAUUGACGGGGGCCCGCACAAGCGGUGGAGCAUGUGGUUUAAUUCGAUGCAACGCGAAGAACCUUACCUACUCUUGACAUCCAGAGAACUUUCCAGAGAUGGAUUGGUGCCUUCGGGAACUCUGAGACAGGUGCUGCAUGGCUGUCGUCAGCUCGUGUUGUGAAAUGUUGGGUUAAGUCCCGCAACGAGCGCAACCCUUAUCCUUGUUUGCCAGCGAGUAAUGUCGGGAACUCCAGGGAGACUGCCGGUGAUAAACCGGAGGAAGGUGGGGACGACGUCAAGUCAUCAUGGCCCUUACGAGUAGGGCUACACACGUGCUACAAUGGCGCAUACAGAGGGCGGCCAACUUGCGAGAGUGAGCGAAUCCCAAAAAGUGCGUCGUAGUCCGGAUUGGAGUCUGCAACUCGACUCCAUGAAGUCGGAAUCGCUAGUAAUCGUGGAUCAGAAUGCCACGGUGAAUACGUUCCCGGGCCUUGUACACACCGCCCGUCACACCAUGGGAGUGGGCUGCAAAAGAAGUAGGUAGUUUAACCUUCGGGGGGACGCUUACCACUUUGUGGUCAUGAUGGGGGAUAAACGGGGCCCCCCAAAAAAAAAAAAAAAAAAA
Molecule: ribosomal RNA, 958 nt
Filed under: Vibrio parahaemolyticus
Lineage: Bacteria; Pseudomonadati; Pseudomonadota; Gammaproteobacteria; Vibrionales; Vibrionaceae
Description: bacterial SSU rRNA
Rfam family: Bacterial small subunit ribosomal RNA
Source: RNAcentral